RNAcentral lists this ribosomal RNA (465 nucleotides) under Vreelandella stevensii. RNAcentral's name for it is "partial 16S ribosomal RNA". It matches the Rfam family "Bacterial small subunit ribosomal RNA", at positions 338 to 795 of the family's 1533-position model. Lineage: Bacteria; Pseudomonadati; Pseudomonadota; Gammaproteobacteria; Oceanospirillales; Halomonadaceae. The record is from RNAcentral.
CCUACGGGGGGCAGCAGUGGGGAAUAUUGGACAAUGGGCGAAAGCCUGAUCCAGCCAUGCCGCGUGUGUGAAGAAGGCCUUCGGGUUGUAAAGCACUUUCAGUGGGGAAGAAAGCCUUGGGGCUAAUACCCUCGAGGAAGGACAUCACCCACAGAAGAAGCACCGGCUAACUCCGUGCCAGCAGCCGCGGUAAUACGGAGGGUGCGAGCGUUAAUCGGAAUUACUGGGCGUAAAGCGCGCGUAGGCGGUCUGAUAAGCCGGUUGUGAAAGCCCCGGGCUCAACCUGGGAACGGCAUCCGGAACUGUCAGGCUAGAGUGCAGGAGAGGAAGGUAGAAUUCCCGGUGUAGCGGUGAAAUGCGUAGAGAUCGGGAGGAAUACCAGUGGCGAAGGCGGCCUUCUGGACUGACACUGACGCUGAGGUGCGAAAGCGUGGGUAGCACACAGGAUUAGAUACCCCUGUAGUC